GCCGUCUUAGCUCAGUUGGUUAGAGCGCUGGUUUGUGGUACCAGAGGUCGGUGGUUCGAACCCACCAGACGGUACCA
Molecule: transfer RNA, 77 nt
Filed under: Parasulfitobacter algicola
Lineage: Bacteria; Pseudomonadati; Pseudomonadota; Alphaproteobacteria; Rhodobacterales; Roseobacteraceae
Description: tRNA-His
Rfam family: tRNA
About the family: Transfer RNA (tRNA) molecules are approximately 80 nucleotides in length.
Source: RNAcentral